RNAcentral lists this ribosomal RNA (407 nucleotides) under uncultured bacterium. Its description in RNAcentral is "partial 16S ribosomal RNA". It matches the Rfam family "Bacterial small subunit ribosomal RNA", at positions 30 to 526 of the family's 1533-position model. The record is from RNAcentral.
AUUGAACGCUGGCGGCAGGCCUAACACAUGCAAGUCGAGCGGAGCGGCGGACGGGUGAGUAAUGCCUAGGAAUCUGCCUGGUAGUGGGGGAUAACGUCCGGAAACGGGCGCUAAUACCGCAUACUAUCAGAUGAGCCUAGGUCGGAUUAGCUAGUUGGUGGGGUAAAGGCCUACCAAGGCGACGAUCCCUAACUGGUCUGAGAGGAUGACCAGCCACACUGGAACUGAGACACGGUCCAGACUCCUACGGGAGGCAGCAGUGGGGAAUAUUGGACAAUGGGCGAAAGCCUGAUGCAGCCAUGCCGCGUGUGUGAAGAAGGCUUUCGGAUUGUAAAGUACUUUAAGCGGGGAGGCGUUACCAACAGAAUAAGCACCGGCUAACUCCGUGCCAGCAGCCGCGGUAAUAC